GCCCCGGUGGCUCAGCCUGGUAGAGCAGCUGUCUCGUAAACAGCGGGUCGUGGGUUCAAAUCCCACCCGAGGCU
RNAcentral lists this transfer RNA (74 nucleotides) under Candidatus Wukongarchaeota archaeon. RNAcentral's name for it is "tRNA-Thr". It matches the Rfam family "tRNA". Rfam says of the family: Transfer RNA (tRNA) molecules are approximately 80 nucleotides in length. Their secondary structure includes four short double-helical elements and three loops (D, anti-codon, and T loops). The record is from RNAcentral. Lineage: Archaea; Promethearchaeati; Candidatus Wukongarchaeota.